RNAcentral lists this long non-coding RNA (3878 nucleotides) under Olea europaea (common olive). RNAcentral describes it as "long non-coding RNA (OEUR_LNC004064)". Lineage: Eukaryota; Viridiplantae; Streptophyta; Magnoliopsida; Lamiales; Oleaceae. The record is from RNAcentral.
UCUUCAGCUUGACGCUCUGCUUGCAAUUUUUCAAAUAAACUGCAGAAAACCAUCAAAUAAACCUUUGAAUUUUCAGUUCCAAGCAAAACCCAGAAAGUAAAAGAUUACUAAUAUCAAGAAAAGGGAAAAUAUUACCCUUUAAAAGUCAGAAAAAGCUACCUUGUUUCACGUGGAAGAAAUAGCUCCAAAACAAAAAAUAACUGAUUUUACACUACGCAAUUCUUAGUUGUACAAAGACAAAGCAAGCCAUAAAAAUAGAUACCCACAAAUCUAAACAGAGAAAUGAGAAACACAACUAAUUGAAAUUUGGUUGCUAAUGGCGUAAGCCACGUUUAGUUUGGAAAAUUUUGACAUCAAAAUCUCGGAUUUGCGUGGUAGGUCCCAAUAUUGGCCAAUAUGUGCUACAUUUCCAUGGUCUAAUCAAAGACAAACAGAUAGAGCCAAACAUAUACAUAUAGUUUAGGUGUACGUAUAGGUAGAGAGAGAAAGAGAAAUAUGUGAACUGGUACGCACAACAGGCCCUCGACUCAAUGCCCACUAGGCACCACGACCACACCAGGAACCCCACUCAUAUGCAAAAAAUCAGAAACUUCAGCUCAGAGUAGGCAGCAGGCUCGAUUUGGAAGUGAUUUUGAAAAUUGAUUUUCUAAUCGUUAUGAGAAAAAUGGAGCCUAUCUAUAAGAGAAGAAGUCCAAUUUUAUGGCUGAAAUAGUGAAAUAACGAUCAAAAAAUCAAUUUUUUGAAAUGAAAAGCCACACCCAAACGAGCUCCAAAAACGAAAGACAAAAUGGGCCCUAGAUUUCUUUCAAACAUGUGACUUCCAUACAUAUUUAUAGGAUGAGGUUCUCAACCUUUCAUAUGUGUCACAAAUGUUUCAAAACUCUUACUUGUCUUCAAAAUACAUUUUUCUUUCUUUUUUUCAAUCAAAUAUUUUUCAAUAAAAUAAUAUUACACGUAAAUCUAAUUUUUUUCUUAUUUUUAACCACACAUUGUCCAUCAAUCUACUAUUCUAAAAUACACUUUACACAAAAAAAAAAUGCAUGAACAGGUAGACCCAUGUGAUGUAUGACUUAAAAGGUAAAUUCGUCCUAAAAUUAUUUCUAUUAUUUUAAAAACUAAACAAUAACUGUUCAAAUUACAAUAGAAAUUGCUCUUUUUUAGAAUUUUACUAUUUCAGUCAGACAUCACUUGCAUGUUGACACAAAUUCUUAAAAGAUUGAGAACAUGGAUGCCUCGAGUGGAAUGAUAGGGACAUAUUAGUCACAUUUAUGGAAGAUCGCAGACAUAAAGACAUUGACAAAUGUGUUAUAUAUAUGAAAUGAUAAGAAAUGAAUGGUUACAUUAAUGUCUUUAUGUCUCCGAUCUUCCACAAGUGUGACAAAUACGUGUAUAUCUAUGAAAUGAUAAGAAAGGAAUGGUUAUUAUUUAUAGGUAGAUGGAGACAUUUUGUUUAGUUUUCUGAUUUUGCGUUAGUACUGUCGAAGGGUCAAAAGGACAAUGGUGCUAGGACAUUUAAUGAAUAUUAUUUUAAUAUUUUCUAUCUCAAAAUACAAGAAGUGGUACUUUUAUUAAACAGAGCCACAAUAUUUUUCUUAUUUAUUAUAAAAUCAACACAAAAGAUAUUAUCUUUUCGCUCAAUUUUCUGUCUUUCUUUAAAUUUGGGAAAAGUCAGUGACACUUUCCUUUCACUUUCCUUGUUUCUUUAGUCCAAUGGUUGAAUUUGGUUGGUCGUAGAGGAAUGGUUUAGAAUAAAGAUAGUGGAGUUCAAAUGUGUGGCCCUUAUGUUCCUUUUACUAUUUCUCUAGUAUAAUUUUUAUUUUAUUUUAUUUUUUUUAUGAUGGGGAACCCACAGUCGCUAUUUUUUGGGUGCGUACUGAAUAAAUUCUCGAACAACGCAAUAGCCUACAAGUCAUGUCAGCCAGUUAAAACGCACUAGGCAAACUCGAUGUAACAGACUCAACCGACAAAAUAUUGGUAGCGGGAAUCGAACUCAUGAUCAAAGACCUCUGCGCUCACCUACUCCACCAACUCGACCACACCAUGAGGGACUUCUCUAGUAUAAUUUUGACAUUGCACUACAAUAUGUUACCCACAAAUUAUUUUGAAAUAAAUUGACUUAACAUAACUACCCAAUCAACUACAUUUGAAUUUAUGUGAAAAACGGGUGAAGGUGAGAAUUAAAAACUCUUGAAUUAGUACGAUCAUAAACACAGAAUCUAGAAAUUGUAGUCACUACUUCACAAACCAAGAAUAAAUGUCAAGAAUCGUCAUAUACAAUGCCCUUGUUUGAGCCCCAUUUUUUUUGAAAAAAUACAUUCUUAAAUAGUGUUUUGAUAUCAUUUCAAUCAAACAUUUUUCAAUAAAAUAAUAUUACACGAAAAUCUAAAACUUUUUCUUAUUUUUUAACCACAUAUUUCACAUCAUUACACUAUUCAAAAAUACAUUUUCUUAGCAAAAAUGGAACUCAAACAAGGGCUAUAUUCUAGUUUGUUUAUAUAAUUCUAUCUUGAAUAUCAAAAAAUGAUCUAUUUAAACUUUAGCAUACAAUUUAUAAUUGUUAGUCAAUCGUGCAUUUCAUCAUAAAAUACAUAUUGCGAACGUAAAUGUGAAUUUGAAAUCAAGGGGGAAGACGCCAAUUAAAAAAGAAUAAUGUUAUUUGCAGUCGCUCACUACGACAGUUGCCCUACGUGGCAUACACAUAGCAAGUGGUUAUUUGAUGCAUUAAUGAAUAAAAAAACUAUCUUAUUAAUAUAUCAAAUAAUCACCCGCCAUGUGAAUGUCACGUAGGGAGAUUACCGCAGUGAACGACUAUGAAUAACAUUACUCAUUAAAAAAAUGGAUUGAUGGGGAAAUAUUUGUUGCUACUUAUCCAACAACCCCUGGAAAAAAUUGAACAAACAUUUGUAAUCUUUUGAAAUUCAACAAUUCAAAAUUCAAAGCCUACACUAUUUCAGACUUAGGUUAAAAUAAAAAUAAAUAAAUUUCUGCUACCUAAUACCGAGAUCCAAGAUUCACUGUACAGACGUUUGGGAAAGUAUAGAAUCGAUAUAGGUCCAUAAAAACACAUGUGUAUUGUUAUUUUACUUUAUUAUCAAAAUAAGUAAUUUUUAUUUAAGAUCUACGAAAUUUUGUGAAAUAAGUAUUUAAGUUGAUUAUAUUGUNUUAUAUCUUCACUUCUCUUAACUUCAAAGAUAAUUAGAUAAACAUGAAAAAACUGAACAAAUUACGUUACCGAAAGUAUAUUUCAACUCAAAAAUAAAAAACAAUUGCUCGCCUAAACCAUAAAAUUGAUGAUUCAAACCCUCUUCAGCUUGACGCUCUGCUUGCAAUUUUUCAAAUAAACUGCAGAAAACCAUCAAAUAAACCUUUGAAUUUUCAGUUCCAAGCAAAACCCAGAAAGUAAAAGAUUACUAAUAUCAAGAAAAGGGAAAAUAUUACCCUUUAAAAGUCAGAAAAAGCUACCUUGUUUCACGUGGAAGAAAUAGCUCCAAAACAAAAAAUAACUGAUUUUACACUACGCAAUUCUUAGUUGUACAAAGACAAAGCAAGCCAUAAAAAUAGAUACCCACAAAUCUAAACAGAGAAAUGAGAAACACAACUAAUUGAAAUUUGGUUGCUAAUGGCGUAAGCCACGUUUAGUUUGGAAAAUUUUGACAUCAAAAUCUCGGAUUUGCGUGGUAGGUCCCAAUAUUGGCCAAUAUGUGCUACAUUUCCAUGGUCUAAUCAAAGACAAACAGAUAGAGCCAAACAUAUACAUAUAGUUUAGGUGUACGUAUAGGUAGAGAGAGAAAGAGAAAUAUGUGAACUGGUACGCACAACAGGCCCUCGACUCAAUGCCCACUAGGCACCACGACCACACCAGGAACCCCACUCAUAUG